GGUCAAGCUACAAAGGGCGCAUGGUGAAUGCCUUGGCAUCAGGAGCCGAUGAAGGACGUGAUAAGCUGCGAUAAGCUUCGGGUAGGCGCACAUAGCCUGAGAUCCGAAGAUCUCCGAAUGAGGAAACUCACAUGGGAAACCCCAUGUAUCAUUAAGUGAAUACAUAGCUUAAUGAAGGUAACCCAGGGAACUGAAACAUCUAAGUACCUGGAGGAAGAGAAAGAAAAAUCGAUUUUCUUAGUAGCGGCGAGCGAAAGGGAAAGAGCCCAAACCGGAAACUUGUUUCCGGGGUUGUGGACAUAACAUAAAAGUGGAGGCUAUUGUAACUGAAGAGAACUGGAAAGUUCCACCGUAGAAGGUAAUAGUCCUGUAAGUGAAACGAGAAGACCACGAGUUAUGAUCCAGAGUACCACGAGACACGUGAAACCUUGUGGGAAGCAGGGAGGACCACCUCCCAAGGCUAAAUACUACCUGAUGACCGAUAGUGAAGCAGUACCGUGAGGGAAAGGUGAAAAGAACCCCGGGAGGGGAGUGAAAUAGAACCUGAAACCGUGUGCCUACAACCGCUCAGAGCCCCUUAUGAGGGUGAUGAGGUGCUUUUUGUAGAACGAGCCAACGAGUUACGGUAUGUAGCAAGGUUAAGUACUUAAGGUACGGAGCCGAAGGGAAACCGAGUCUGAAUAGGGCGACUAGUUGCAUGCCGUAGACCCGAAACCGGGUGACCUAUCCAUGGCCAGGUUGAAGCGAGGGUAAAACCUCGUGGAGGACCGAACCACGUUGCUGUUGAAAAAGCAUGGGAUGAGCUGUGGAUAGCGGAGAAAUUCCAAUCGAACCCGGAGAUAGCUGGUUCUCUCCGAAAUAGCUUUAGGGCUAGCGUCGAGUAUGAGUAGUGGAGGUAGAGCACUGAAUGGGCUAGGGGGCAUAGCGCUUACCGAACCUUAUCAAACUCCGAAUGCCACAUACUUUGAGCUCGGCAGUCAGACUACGAAUGAUAAGAUCCGUGGUCAAAAGGGAAACAGCCCAGAUCGUCAGCUAAGGUCCCAAAGUGUAAGUUAAGUGGGAAAGGAUGUGAGAUUUCUAAGACAACUAGGAUGUUGGCUUAGAAGCAGCCAUUCAUUAAAAGAGUGCGUAAUAGCUCACUAGUCGAGAGAUCUUGCGCCGAAAAUGUAACGGGGCUAAACUUACCACCGAAGCUACGGGCUUGAACUUAGUUCAAGCGGUAGGAGAGCGUCGUAACCGGGCUGAAGUCGUACCGUAAGGAGCGGUGGACUGGUUACGAGUGAGAAUGUUGGCAUCAGUAGCGAGAUGUGGGUGAGAAUCCCACAGGCCGAAAACCUAAGGUUUCCUCAGGAAGGUUCGUCCGCUGAGGGUUAGUCGGGACCUAAGCCGAGGCCGAAAGGCGUAGGUGAUGGACAACUGGUUGAUAUUCCAGUACCACUACCAUCGUUAUUAUCGAUGGCGUGACGCAGGAGGAUAGUGUAUGCUAGCUAUUGGAUGCUAGUCUAAGCGUUUAGGCAGUGAGAGUAGGCAAAUCCGCUCUCAUAAUGCUGAGGCGUGAUGGGGAAGGUUCUACGGAACCGAAGUACAUGAUUCCACGCUGCCAAGAAAAGCGUCUAGAGAGAGAAGUAGUGCCCGUACCGCAAACCGACACAGGUAGGUGAGGAGAGAAUCCUAAGGCCGGCGGAAGAAUUACAGUUAAGGAACUCGGCAAAUUGACCCCGUAAGUUCGCGAGAAGGGGUGCCUACGAGAGUAGGCCGCAGAGAAUAGGCCCAAGCAACUGUUUAGCAAAAACACAGGUCUCUGCUAAAGCGUAAGCUGAUGUAUAGGGGCUGACGCCUGCCCGGUGCUGGAAGGUUAAGGGGAACACUUAGCGCAAGCGAAGGUGUGAACUUAAGCCCCAGUAAACGGCGGCCGUAACUAUAACGGUCCUAAGGUAGCGAAAUUCCUUGUCAGGUAAGUUCUGACCCGCACGAAUGGCGUAAUGACUUGGGCACUGUCUCAACUGUAAAUCCGGCGAAGUUGUAGUGCGAGUGAAGAUGCUCGCUACCCGCGAUUGGACGGAAAGACCCCGUAGAGCUUUACUGUAGCUUAGCAUUGAGUUUUGGUAUUGUCUGUACAGGAUAGGUGGGAGACUAGGAAACCAGGGCGUCAGCCUUGGUGGAGUCAACCUUGGGAUACCACCCUGACAGUACUGAAAUUCUAACUGGCGGCCAUGAAUCUGGUCACAGGACAUUGUUAGGUGGGCAGUUUGACUGGGGCGGUCGCCUCCUAAAAAGUAACGGAGGCGCCCAAAGGUUCCCUCAGAACGGUCGGAAAUCGUUCGAAGAGUGCAAAGGCAGAAGGGAGCCUGACUGCGACACCCACAAGUGGAGCAGGGACGAAAGUCGGGCUUAGUGAUCCGGUGGUACCUCGUGGGAGGGCCAUCGCUCAACGGAUAAAAGCUACCUCGGGGAUAACAGGCUGAUCUCCCCCAAGAGUCCACAUCGACGGGGAGGUUUGGCACCUCGAUGUCGGCUCGUCGCAUCCUGGGGCUGAAGUAGGUCCCAAGGGUUGGGCUGUUCGCCCAUUAAAGCGGCACGCGAGCUGGGUUCAGAACGUCGUGAGACAGUUCGGUCCCUAUCCGUCGCGGGCGUAGGAAAUUUGAGAGGAGCUGUCCUUAGUACGAGAGGACCGGGAUGGACUGACCUCUGGUGUACCAGUUGUUCCGCCAGGAGCACAGCUGGGUAGCUAAGUCGGGAAUGGAUAAACGCUGAAAGCAUCUAAGCGUGAAGCCAACCUCAAGAUGAGAUUUCCCAUAGCAUAAGCUAGUAAGAUCCCUUGAAGAACACAAGGUUGAUAGGUCGGGGGUGUAAGCAUGGUAACAUGUUCAGCUGACCGAUACUAAUAGAUCGAGGGCUUGACCAA
This 2905-nucleotide ribosomal RNA is filed under the name Clostridium perfringens. RNAcentral describes it as "23S ribosomal RNA". It matches the Rfam family "Bacterial large subunit ribosomal RNA". Lineage: Bacteria; Bacillati; Bacillota; Clostridia; Eubacteriales; Clostridiaceae. The record is from RNAcentral.